CCCUUAGAUGUUCUGGGCCGCACGCGCGCUACACUGAACAGUUCAACAAGUCUUAACCUUGGCCGAUAGGUCUGGGUAAUCUUUGAACGCUGUUCGUGAUUGGGAUAGACCUUUGCAAUUAUGGGUCUUCAACGAGGAAUUCCUAGUAAACGCAAGUCAUCAGCUUGCAUUGAUUACGUCCCUGCCCUUUGUACACACCGCCCGUCGCACCUACCGAUUGAAUAGUCCGGUGAAAUCUCGGGACGGCGGCUUGGUCGCUUGCGUCCGACUGCUGAAACUUGAUUAAACCAUAUCAUUUAGAGGAAGGUGAAGUCGUAACA
This 320-nucleotide ribosomal RNA is filed under the name uncultured eukaryote. Its description in RNAcentral is "partial 18S ribosomal RNA". It matches the Rfam family "Eukaryotic small subunit ribosomal RNA", at positions 1470 to 1796 of the family's 1831-position model. The record is from RNAcentral.